This 73-nucleotide transfer RNA is filed under the name Mustela putorius furo (domestic ferret). It matches the Rfam family "tRNA". From Rfam's summary of the family: Transfer RNA (tRNA) molecules are approximately 80 nucleotides in length. Their secondary structure includes four short double-helical elements and three loops (D, anti-codon, and T loops). Further hydrogen bonds mediate the characteristic L-shaped molecular structure. tRNAs have two regions of fundamental functional importance: the anti-codon, which is responsible for specific mRNA codon recognition, and the 3' end, to which the tRNAs corresponding amino acid is attached (by aminoacyl-tRNA synthetases). tRNAs cope with the degeneracy of the genetic code in two manners: having more than one tRNA (with a specific anti-codon) for a particular amino acid; and 'wobble' base-pairing, i.e. permitting non-standard base-pairing at the 3rd anti-codon position. Lineage: Eukaryota; Metazoa; Chordata; Mammalia; Carnivora; Mustelidae. The record is from Rfam by way of RNAcentral.
GCCUGGCUGGCUCAGUUGGUGGAGCAUAUGACUCUUGAUCUUGGGGUUUUGAGUUCAAGCCCCAUGUUGGGUG